UACGAAGGGGGCUAGCGUUGCUCGGAAUCACUGGGCGUAAAGCGCACGUAGGCGGAUCUUUAAGUCAGGUGUGAAAUCCUGGAGCUCAACUCCAGAACUGCCUUUGAUACUGGGGAUCUCGAGUCCGGAAGAGGUGAGUGGAACUCCGAGUGUAGAGGUGAAAUUCGUAGAUAUUCGGAAGAACACCAGUGGCGAAGGCGGCUCACUGGUCCGGUACUGACGCUGAGGUGCGAAAGCGUGGGGAGCAAACAGG
RNAcentral lists this ribosomal RNA (253 nucleotides) under uncultured bacterium. RNAcentral describes it as "partial 16S ribosomal RNA". It matches the Rfam family "Bacterial small subunit ribosomal RNA", at positions 524 to 776 of the family's 1533-position model. The record is from RNAcentral.